UACGUAGGGGGCUAGCGUUGUUCGGAAUUAUUGGGCGUAAAGCGCACGUAGGCGGCUGUUCAAGUCAGAGGUGAAAGCCUGGAGCUCAACUCCAGAACUGCCUUUGAAACUAGACAGCUUGAAUCAUGGAGAGGUGAGUGGAAUUCCGAGUGUAGAGGUGAAAUUCGUAGAUAUUCGGAAGAACACCAGUGGCGAAGGCGGCUCACUGGACAUGUAUUGACGCUGAGGUGCGAAAGCGUGGGGAGCAAACAGG
RNAcentral lists this ribosomal RNA (253 nucleotides) under uncultured bacterium. Its description in RNAcentral is "partial 16S ribosomal RNA". It matches the Rfam family "Bacterial small subunit ribosomal RNA", at positions 524 to 776 of the family's 1533-position model. The record is from RNAcentral.